RNAcentral lists this long non-coding RNA (817 nucleotides) under Marmota monax (woodchuck). The record is from RNAcentral. Lineage: Eukaryota; Metazoa; Chordata; Mammalia; Rodentia; Sciuridae.
CUGAACCAUAACAGCAUUUUUCUAGUGUUUUUCUAUUCCCUAUGUCAUUUAUUUCCAUUCUCAUCAUAAUUUCCUCCUUUCUGCUUGCUUUGAGUUUACUUUUCUCUCAUUUUCCUAGUUUCUUAAUAUGGAAGAUUAGAUUAUUAAUUUAAGAUCUUUCUUCUUUUCUAAUGUAGGCAUAUAUAAUUACAAAUUUCCCGCUAAGCAUUGCUUUCACUACAUUCCAUAAAUUUUAACAUAUUGUGUUUUUCUUUUAUAUUUUCCCCUAAAUUGUUUAGUGACUUUUUGGAAUUUCCUAUAUUCUUCAUUUUAUCGGGCCACUGAAAUCUUUUCUCAGCAUAGUAGUCAACUAAUGAUAAGACAGAUAUUUCCUUAACCACCUGAAACCAGUAAAUCUCUCAGGCUUUGCCCAGGGUCUCUGUAUGUCUUAAGGUACAGCAACAACACUCAAUCACACAGUCAGUUACUCUUCCCUAGCCUUCAUUUCCUGCUUUGGGGAGGCCUCAAAACAAGCCAGAGUUGAGAACUUCGUGCUUUAUUAGGUCUUUCUUGAGCAUACACACAGUCCUUUGCAUGCAUGUGGCCUUCUAGAUUCCUGGGAAUAUGUAAGCGUGUCCCAAAGCAUCUCUGAACAUCUUAUUUCCCAGAUUUUCUUCAUACUUUCUGGUUAGUCUGUUAUUUGCCACCACUAUUUUCCACCAUCUUCAGCAGACACAAAGUUAAGAAUUUGCCAGUUGGUUUUAACAAAUUCUAUUCACUUCACCUACACAAGGAGAAGGCUUUUUAUAGUGGGCAAGCUCCAGUUUAUCAGAUCCAG